CCUACGGGGGGCUGCAGUCGAGAAUCUUCCGCAAUGGGGGAAACCCUGACGGAGCGACGCCGCGUGCGGGAUGAAGGCCUUCGGGUUGUAAACCGCUGUCACACGUUAUGAAAGAAACGGAGUUAAAAGCUCUGGGUCUUGACAAAGGCGUGGGAGGAAGCCACGGCUAACUUCGUGCCAGCAGCCGCGGUAAGACGAAGGUGGCGACCGUUGUUCGGAAUCACUGGGCAUAAAGAGCUCGUAGGCGGUGAGAAAAGUAGGGUGUGAAAUCCCUCGGCCCAACCGAGGAACUGCGCUCUAAACUGUCUUGCUUGAGGACCGAAGGGGACCACGGAAUUCCUGGUGGAGCGGUGAAAUGCGUUGAUAUCAGGAGGAACACCGGCGGCGAAGGCGGUGGUCUGGUCGGUUUCUGACGCUGAGGAGCGAAAGCUAGGGGAGCAAACGGGCUUAGAUACCCCAGUAGUC
This 465-nucleotide ribosomal RNA is filed under the name uncultured bacterium. Its description in RNAcentral is "bacterial SSU rRNA". It matches the Rfam family "Bacterial small subunit ribosomal RNA", at positions 338 to 795 of the family's 1533-position model. The record is from RNAcentral.